CCGAGUUAUCAACUCCCAAACCCCUGUGAACAUAUCUCUUUUGUUGCUUCGGCGCAAGUACCGGACCUCGCGCCUCGUGGCGAGGCCCGCCAGGAGGACCAAACAAACUCUUGAUUUGAUCUAGUGAUUUACUUCUGAGUGUAUAUAAUAAGUCA
RNAcentral lists this unclassified non-coding RNA (155 nucleotides) under soil metagenome. Its description in RNAcentral is "partial internal transcribed spacer 1". The record is from RNAcentral.